AGAGAUCGUAACCAUUUUCGAAAAUUAAUGUAUUCAAGAUUUGCUACACGUGUGAAACGGUUCCUUCGAUAGUCCACGUUUUAAUGGAGUCUCUGUUGAACACUGAGUUUGAGAGUUCGAUAAAUUCCCAAGCUUCGGGGAAAGAAGAAAUUCCUAAAGUUUGUUAAGUGAGAAACGCAGUAGGACUCGUCUUUGCAAGCCUCUGGACCAUUUAACUGGCCCGAAGAACAACUGUCAACCGUGGUUCAAAGCCGUUGAUAAAAGCCAAAAGAGUACACGUUACGAGCAAAGCGAAG
Long non-coding RNA from Orbicella faveolata, 296 nucleotides. RefSeq lists it as uncharacterized. NCBI's taxonomy places the organism in Eukaryota, Metazoa, Cnidaria, Anthozoa, Scleractinia, Merulinidae. The record is from RefSeq and is a predicted model, not a curated record.